GUCCACUGCUACAAUAAACUGUGCACUGGUCUUGGUUUUAGCUUAACACAGAGCCAAACUGUACUGACCCAACAUCAUUUGAACAUCCCAGGAGCUUUGAUCAACUUCUUCUGCAGAUGGAAAGUCAAGCAGAGAGAUGGAACCAAUUGUCGAGCACUUCUUGGAGAAAUUCUUAAAAACGCCGGUAUGGGUGCACUUCAGACAAAAUUAUUGGAAGGUGAAUAUCUUACAUCUGGAACCUCACCUUCUGAUCCAAUACUGGAUACUUCCCAACCAUUCAUGACUGAGGCACAGGUUCUCCAGUGUGGGGAAGAUUUGAAGACAUUCUAUCGCGAACAGAUGUGCAAAAUCAAACCUGACCCGCUUGAUUUCAAUAUCAUCCUAGAA
This is a long non-coding RNA of Strongylocentrotus purpuratus (purple sea urchin), 387 nucleotides long. RefSeq lists it as uncharacterized. Lineage: Eukaryota; Metazoa; Echinodermata; Echinoidea; Camarodonta; Strongylocentrotidae. The transcript is spliced from 3 exons. The record is from RefSeq and is a predicted model, not a curated record.